AGUGCAAAGAAGUUCUUCCCUGAUUCCUGCUUGUUCCUUACUCGCGCCCGUCAUCUCCCUACCCCCCGUGCAAACCUGCACGCUGCUCUUCUGUCCUUUAGCCAAAGCGCUGACGCGCAUGGUCACCCCUCACCCCUCACCAUCUGCCUUUCAGUUUCUGGGGUGAGCUCACCCUCCUCCCCCAUAUCUGCACUGACAAGCACCUGGGGGUAGCGCCUGAAAAUCUUAAACGAAACGACUCUGCAGCCCACCCAGGCAGGCCGGGUAGUCAGGACAGAAUAGGGCAUCCGGUCACAGGUUUUGCAUUUCGGUGACUUCCCUUUUCCUUUACCCCUUCCCCUUUUCAGAAAGAGAGACGUGACACAAGAGGUCCCAAGGGAACAAACCUGAAAGCCAGAGCCUCCUGAACACACUGCCAGGGGGCGAAAGGACUUUAGACACUGUCCCCAGAUAUAAGAAGUAUCACUUCCUUCAGAUAGAGGCGGUGAGACAAGUAAUGAGACAGUUCCUCUCCUUGCCCUCCUCGGGAAAGCAUUUUGCGCCUCUGCCUUCGGCAUCAUCUUUGAUGGCUGAAAUUCUGCAAUCUGUUGAAUUUUAAUGAAUGCUGCCGUUGUUACAAGCUCCUGAUACUGUAGUGAGGAUAAUAGCUACAAUUUAUUGAAUGUCUACUAUGUAUCAGGCAAUAUACUUUUUACGCGUUUCACAACCGUAAUCUAAAGACCUCAAAAAAAAAUCCUGCAAAGUAGCCAUUAUUUUCUUAUAGAUGAGCAAAUUUUAAAGCUUAGAGAGAUUAACUUUCCUAAAUUCAUGCAUCUAAUAAGUGCCAAAAUUUUAUAGGAACCUUGAUCUAAUUCAAACCCUACACUUUACAUAUUCUCUUUGAGAUAGUAAUUUAAUACCAAUUAAAUUUUAAAAUCUAGGUGAAGGAGGUAAAACCAUGAAAUGACAAAAUCAUAAGGCUUUAAAGAGUAAAUGGGUAAAUGUUUAAAAAAACGAGUCAUUGACAAGAAUCAGAAUGGAAUUUAAUACUCAGAUUGAUAGAUGAAGCAGAAAACAAGACCAGAUGCUGUGGUUUCCAGGAUGCACUUGGCUUCCCAUCCUUUAUAACCUGGAGCAUUUUUCGCUGUUUGUUCCUGAUGUUUCCCCCACCUGGAGAUCAAUCCCAUUAGCGCGAGUCUUGGUAUUCACAGGGUUUAAAAACAUGGACAUUGCAGCCAAACAGAUGUGGGUCUGAAUGUAAGAUCUAUUAUUUACUAGACUAUGACUUUGGACAAGUUAUUAAACUCU
Long non-coding RNA from Pteropus alecto (black flying fox), 1287 nucleotides. RefSeq lists it as uncharacterized. The transcript has 3 exons. The record is from RefSeq and is a predicted model, not a curated record. Lineage: Eukaryota; Metazoa; Chordata; Mammalia; Chiroptera; Pteropodidae.